AAAGAAUAGAAAGAGAUAGGUGCCCGCAAGGGCUUAAUAGGGAAGUCCGGUUAAAAGCCGGCGCGGUCCCGCCACUGUAUUGGUGAGCAACCUCAAGAUAUGCCACUGGGAUGAAUUUCCUGGGAAGGUUUGAGUGCGCGAUGAUCCAGAGCCAGGAGAACUGCCUAUUUGACAAUCACCGU
RNAcentral lists this non-coding RNA (182 nucleotides) under Pelosinus fermentans. Lineage: Bacteria; Bacillati; Bacillota; Negativicutes; Selenomonadales; Sporomusaceae. The record is from RNAcentral.